Molecule: ribosomal RNA, 495 nt
Filed under: uncultured bacterium
Lineage: Bacteria
Description: partial 16S ribosomal RNA
Rfam family: Bacterial small subunit ribosomal RNA
Source: RNAcentral
GAUGAACGCUGGCGGCGUGCCUAAUACAUGCAAGUAGAACGCUGAAGGAGGAGCUUGCUCUUCUGGAUGAGUUGCGAACGGGUGAGUAACGCGUAGGUAACCUGCCUGGUAGCGGGGGAUAACUAUUGGAAACGAUAGCUAAUACCGCAUGACAACAGUUAUUGCAUGAUAACUGUUUAAAAGGGGCAACUGCUCCACUACCAGAUGGACCUGCGUUGUAUUAGCUAGUUGGUGAGGUAACGGCUCACCAAGGCGACGAUGCAUAGCCGACCUGAGAGGGUGAUCGGCCACACUGGGAGUGAGACACGGCCCAGACUCCUACGGGAGGCAGCAGUAGGGAAUCGGCGGCAAUGGACGGAAGUCUGACCGAGCAACGCCGCGUGAGUGAAGAAGGUUGUCGGAUCGUAAAGCUCUGUUGUAAGAGAAGAACGAGUGUGAGAGUGGAAAGUUCACACUGUGACGGUAUCUUACCAGAAAGGGACGGCUAACUACGUG